Long non-coding RNA from Calidris pugnax (ruff), 1615 nucleotides. RefSeq lists it as uncharacterized. The record is from RefSeq and is a predicted model, not a curated record. The transcript has 3 exons. NCBI's taxonomy places the organism in Eukaryota, Metazoa, Chordata, Aves, Charadriiformes, Scolopacidae.
UUAUAUCAUGAAUAUUUAUAGGUUUUGUCUUCUCCAGGUUUUCUGUGUAUUAUAAAGCCGUUGAUAAGCUGAUGUUGCUGAUCAAAGUACUGUAACUUUGGAUACCCGUAAGGCCACAUCUUUAUUAACUGCAUGAAACAAUGGACGCGUCCAGAUUUGAACCCAGCUCUUACUUUUUCUUCUGAGCAAACAUUUCUCAUCCAAGUGACUUAGCACAGCAGUGGGAGUUCUGUUUUCCCAGUUACUCGUGUAAUCCACCAUGUGAACUGAUGCGUGGAAAGCACCGAAGUUAAAACAGGUCACCUAAAACAAGUGCUCUUCUCUUUUCUGCUCUCUAGUUACCAGCUAAGACAGGAGUUGUUUCAGCUUCUCGGUGCUAAGCGGCAGUGCAAAGAAGAUGAAGACAAAUGGAGACAAGAGACAGCUGCCUUCUUCAUUCAGGUUGCCUGGAAGAAACAGCUGAACCAUAGCCCUCUGAAAUCAGUUCCGUCAUGUAAAAGUCUGAAAUCUAUAAACAAAACCAGCUCAGCCAUUAAAACCAGCAAGCAGUCCAUCCUUAAGCAGAUAUAUGGACGCUCUCAGGAAGGCAAAGCCUAUCAGCCAGCAAGGCCUCCUUCGAAGCUGAAGCUUUCUGAUGUGCAGCUGGUCUCAGUAAACAACCUACAGUGUGUUAAUUUGCUGGAGAACAUGGGAAAAUCCAAGCAAUUUUCAUACAACAUGAGACCAACCACUGCUGCAAAAUCAAAAAAUCCAAGACUCAAGCACUAAACAAAACCAACUGUUUGGAAUUGAAAAAGCACCUUCCAGUACAACUGUUAUCUCGCGUAACAUAUGAGUCUUCCACAACAUAUUAAACUUGAAGACAUUUUCCAUUUUGUAUUAUCUCAGCAUUACAGGCCAAGCAGGCUUCUAAGGAGUCGGACUCAUUUUAUUUUGUGUACAAAUUAGUUUUUAAAUGCAACUGUUAAUUUAUUCACUGACAGGAUGAAAUCUGAAUUGCAUUUGGAAACAGCAAAUGAAGCAGGAAGCCCAGCACUACGACAGAGUUGCGGGGGCUCCCCAACAUUUUCUGUUGUCAAAUGCAGGAAUUUUGAACGUGUUCAAAUGCAGUUUCAAAGCGAAGGAGCACGGAACUGCACAAAAGAUGCAACAGUUGGGAAGGGCUGCUCUUCCAUUCCACCUCAAAUUUAUUAAACGUAUUUCAAAAGCUAUAAAGGAACAGAAGAGCAGCCUUCCUGCUCCUCUUCUGUACUAAAGAAACAAUUGUUUCUUAGUUGUAGCUAUGAGCUUGGAAGGAAAAGUGGGGAUGUUGACCAAAAUUACUCAGUAAUAAAAAAAUAAAAAGCAUAAAUAGCUUUUCACAGCCAAUGGAAACGGUCAGGGGGGUGUUUUCUACCCUUUAAGUUUAUUAAGGAUUUUUUCCAUAUUAAUAGCUAUUUUUAUAUGUGCGCAAAAAGAGUUUCUACAGAAAGCAAGAAAAGAUGGGACCGAUUCUAAAAGAAAACUUGAUCUUAUAAUAGCUUUGGAGCUGCCAGUGUACAGUACUUACCUUGCACAAAGUAUUUAAAAAUAUAAAUUCAGCAAAAAUAAAGUAAUGUUACUUACUUGUAAAGUA